ACUCUCGGCAACGGAUAUCUCGGCUCUCGCAUCGAUGAAGAACGUAGCGAAAUGCGAUACCUGGUGUGAAUUGCAGAAUCCCGCGAACCAUCGAGUCUUUGAACGCAAGUUGCGCCCGAGGCCACUCGGCCGAGGGCACGCCUGCCUGGGCGUCACGCCAAAACACGCUCCCAACCACCCUCUUCGGGAAUUGGGAUGCGGCAUAUGGUCCCUCGUCCUGCAAGGGGCGGUGGGCCGAAGAUCGGGCUGCCGGCGUACCGCGUCGGACACAGCGCAUGGUGGGCGUCCUUGCUUUAUCAAUGCAGUGCAUCCGACGCGUAGACGGCAUCAUGGCCUCGAAACGACCCAUCGAACGAAGUGCACGUCGCUUCGACCGCGACCCCAGGUCAGGCGGGACUACCCGCUGAGUUUAAGCAUAUAAAUAAGCGGAGGAGAAGAAACUUACAAGGAUUCCCCUAGUAACGGCGAGCGAACCGGGAACAGCCCAGCUUGAGAAUCGGGCGGCUGUGCCGUCCGAAUUGUAGUCUGGAGACGCGUCCUCAGCGACGGACCGGGCCCAAGUCCCCUGGAAAGGGGCGCCUGGGAGGGUGAGAGCCCCGUCCGGCCCGGACCCUGUCGCCCCACGAGGCGCGGUCAACGAGUCGGGUUGUUUGGGAAUGCAGCCCAAAUCGGGCGGUAGACUCCGUCCAAGGCUAAAUACAGGCGAGAGACCGAUAGCGAACAAGUACCGCGAGGGAAAGAUGAAAAGGACUUUGAAAAGAGAGUCAAAGAGUGCUUGAAAUUGCCGGGAGGGAAGCGGAUGGGGGCCGGCGAUGCGCCCCGGCCGUAUGCGGAACGGCUCUUGCUGGUCCGCCGCUCGGCUCGGGGUGUGGACUGUUGUCGGCCGCGUCGGCGGCCAAAGCCCGGGGGCCCUAGGUGCCUCCGGUUGCCGUCGUCGACAUGGCCGGUACCCGCGCGCCGAAAGGCGUGUCCCUCGGGGCACUGCGCUGCAACGGCCUGCGGGCUCCCCAUCCGACCCGUCUUGAAACACGGACCAAGGAGUCUGACAUGCGUGCGAGUCGACGGGUUUUGAAACCUGGGAUGCGCAAGGAAGCUGACGAGCGGGAGGCCCUCACGGGCCGCACCGCUGGCCGACCCUGAUCUUCUGUGAAGGGUUCGAGUUGGAGCACGCCUGUCGGGACCCGAAAGAUGGUGAACUAUGCCUGAGCGGGGCGAAGCCAGAGGAAACUCUGGUGGAGGCUCGAAGCGAUACUGACGUGCAAAUCGUUCGUCUGACUUGGGUAUAGGGGCGAAAGACUAAUCGAACCAUCUAGUAGCUGGUUCCCUCCGAAGUUUCCCUCAGGAUAGCUGGAGCCCAUUACGAGUUCUAUCAGGUAAAGCCAAUGAUUAGAGGCAUUGGGGACGCAACGUCCUCGACCUAUUCUCAAACUUUAAAUAGGUAGGAUGGCUCGGCUGCUUCGGUGAGCCGUGCCACGGAAUCGGGUGCUCCAAGUGGGCCAUUUUUGGUAAGCAGAACUGGCGAUGCGGGAUGAACCGGAAGCCGGGUUACGGUGCCCAACUGCGCGCUAACCUAGAACCCACAAAGGGUGUUGGUCGAUUAAGACAGCAGGACGGUGGUCAUGGAAGUCGAAAUCCGCUAAGGAGUGUGUAACAACUCACCUGCCGAAUCAACUAGCCCCGAAAAUGGAUGGCGCUGAAGCGCGCGACCCACACCCGGCCAUCUGGGCGAGCGCCAUGCCCCGAUGAGUAGGAGGGCGCGGCGGCCGCUGCAAAACCCGGGGCGCGAGCCCCGGGGCGGGCCCCGGGGGGGCGGGGCCAAUUCCUCGACCGCCUCCACUCCUAGGAGCGGGGGCUCGUGGUAAAAGAACCCACGGCGCCGAAGGCGUCAAGGAACACUGUGCCUAACCCGGGGAGAUGGCUAGCUUGCUGGUCGUCACCUGUGUUGCAAAUAUAUUUAAUCCACACGACUCUCGGCAACGGAUAUCUCGGCUCUCGCAUCGAUGAAGAACGUAGCGAAAUGCGAUACCUGGUGUGAAUUGCAGAAUCCCGCGAACCAUCGAGUCUUUGAACGCAAGUUGCGCCCGAGGCCACUCGGCCGAGGGCACGCCUGCCUGGGCGUCACGCCAAAACACGCUCCCAACCACCCUCUUCGGGAAUUGGGAUGCGGCAUAUGGUCCCUCGUCCUGCAAGGGGCGGUGGGCCGAAGAUCGGGCUGCCGGCGUACCGCGUCGGACACAGCGCAUGGUGGGCGUCCUUGCUUUAU
RNAcentral lists this ribosomal RNA (2263 nucleotides) under Hordeum vulgare. RNAcentral describes it as "eukaryotic LSU rRNA". The stretch from base 378 to 1841 matches the Rfam family "Eukaryotic large subunit ribosomal RNA". Lineage: Eukaryota; Viridiplantae; Streptophyta; Magnoliopsida; Poales; Poaceae. The record is from RNAcentral.